CAUGCCGCACAGCACGUGGGAACUUAGUUCCCCGACCAGGGAUCGAACCCAUGCACCCUGCAGUGGAAGCAUGGAGUCUUAACCACUGGACCUCCAGGGAAGUCCCUGUUUAUCUAUUUUAUAUUUGGUAAAAAAAAACAGUUCUUUUUCAUUAUGUAUGCAUGAGUGUUUAUCAAAUAUUGCUGUUACACUUUGCUUCAGUUUCCAGCACUUACCAUCACUGAGUAAAAUGCAUUUGAUUGGCUUGUGUGUGUUCAUUUCCCACAAGAGUGUAAGCUCAGGAGUCCUAGGAAUUGAGUCUGGUUCCCGACUGUCGGCCUCCCCAUCCUCCCACACACGGGGGUGAAGAGGGAGCCUUGCUGACAUGGAACCUGUGGCUGUUUCAGGACUCGGUGGGCUCUGAGGACGUGGCUGUGAACUUCACUGUGGAGGAGUGGGCUUUGCUGGGCCCGGCUCAGAGGAAGCUCUACAGAGACGUGAUGCUGGAGACCUUCAGGAACCUGGCCUCUGUGGGAUUUAGUUAUGCUACCAAUUGUUGCAGGUUCUUGCCCUCAAGUUAAAACCAGUGGAUCAAGUCCUCAGUGGGAUAUUUUGGAGAAUGAAGUAUGCAGUGAAGAGAAAAUAGUAAGAUUCAGAAGAAAUGAUUCCUAGUCUGUUUUUGGAGAAAACUGGGCAUUUCAUAACAUGCGUGAUCAGCAUGUAACCCAGGAGAGGCGUUUGAGAAAUCAUUUGGUGGAGAGUCUCUGUGAAGGUAAAGAAGAUCAUCAAUAUGGAGAAACCCUGAACCAGAUUACAAAUCUUACUGUGCAUAAGGGUUAUCCCACUGCAGUUCAGCCCUAUAAAUGCACUAAGUGUGGAAAAACCUUCAGGGAUCGUUCUUUCCAGAGGAAUCAGCAAAGGUAUCACCCUGGACACAAACCUUAUCCAUGUGAAGGAUGUGGGCAAGCCUGCAGCUCUGUCUCGUGCCUAAAUCCUCCUGGGCAAACAGACAUUGUAGAGAAACAUGAUAAACAUCAGGAUGCUGGGAGAACAUCUAAGAGGUACAUGAAGAGUGACAGUAGUAAACAGUCUUUAGAGCGUAAGAAAUCUGGAAAAGCUCUCGCUUGCCAUCUGUUCAGCGACAUAAGAGAGGUCAUUAUGGACGGAAAUCCACAUGUGUGAAGUAUGUGAGAAAUCCUUCAGUUAUUAUUCCCAGAUUGCACGGCAUGUGAGAACUCAAACUGGAGAGAAACCCUAUGAAUGUAAAGAAUGUGGGAAAGCUUUCACUCGCAGCACACAGUUUCGAGAACAUGUGAGAAUGCACACUGGAGAGAAACCCUAUGAAUGUAGGCAGUGUGGGAAAGCCUUCCCAUAUUGCAAAUCCCUGCAAGGACACAUGGGAACGCACACUAGAGAGAAGCCUUCUCGUGUGUGUAAUGAAUGUGGAAAAGCCUUCCAUUGUCCCAGGUACAUUAGAAGGCACAUAAAAAGACACAGUGGAAUAAAACCCUAUGAAUGUACAGAAUGUGGGAAAGUGUUCAUUACUCCCUCAUCCCUUCGAGAACAUAUGAGAACACACAGUGAAGAGAAGCCCUAUCAGUGUCAGCAUUGUGGAAAAGUCUUCAGGCUUCAGAGAUCUCUGCAAGGACACAUGAUUACCCACAGUGAUGAGAAACCCCGUCAGUGUCAGUAGUGUGGGAAAGCCUUCAAAUAUCCCAUAUAUCUGAAAGGACACAUGAAAACACACAGUAAAAAGAAACCGUGUGAAUGUCAGCAGUGUGAAAAAGCCUACUGUUAUCUCAUAUCCCUGCAAAGACAUAUGAAGACACACACUGUGGGAAAACUUGAAUCCAAGAAUAGUGGGAAAGCCUUUCUUAAAACUUAGAAGUGGGAGCAAAACAGUGUCAAGAAAUUUUUUUUUUAUACCACAUGGCUUGUGGGAUCUUAGUUCCUCAACCAGGGAUCGAACCCAGGCCCCCUGCAGUGGAAGCACGGAGUUGUAAGCACUGGACCACCAGGGAAUUGCUGAGCAAUCUUAUGAAUGGAAAAAAUUUUUUUCCUUUGUAAGUGUCUUAUCCUCAAUACUGAUCUCAGGAUAUUAAUUUGUACUUCAUGUUGCUGAUCUGAACACAUAAUAAUUAUCCUCCAUGUUCAUCUUUACCACUUACAUUUUGUUAUCUCUGAGUUUAUAUCAUUGUACAAUCAUAUAAAACUUGUCUUAUUUCCAUUAGAAUGAUACCAGGGGUGCUAAGUGGCUUUUGGUUUGUGGUUUUUUUCAUGUGCAACUUGUGAUUUCUUUCAUUUUUGUUGAACAGAUUUUUGAUUCUUCCUUUCCAUUAUGUUCCUAAUACGUGAUCAUGAUAUGAGGCUGGCAUUAAUUAAAUAUCUUUCCUUGUCCACUGUUAAGAGAUACUGGAAUCUCCUGAAUCAAUAUUUACCCUCUCCUUGAGUUUUCAUUACUGAAAGGUGUGUCUUCCAAGUUGUUUGUUGCUAGCAGAUACCGUAUAUGUGUUCCUCCCAGAAAUUAGUAAUUGUGGAAGGUCAUGGAAGAUGACAGGCUUACCUGAUUAUGUUCAUAAUCUGACCUCUGUUCAUGUCCAUGAUCUUGGUUGCAAAUCGAACACAAUACAUUGAGUUAAGAAGAGCGACCUGGACUUCCCUGGCGGUCCAGUGGUUAAGACUCCGAGCUUCCAAUGCAGGGGGUGCAGGUUUGGUCCGUGGUCGGGGAACUAGGAUACCACAUGCUGUGUGGCCAACCCCCCCCACCAAAAAAAAGUUAAAAAAAAAAAAAAAAGAGCGACCUGGUGGGUGAUGAUGAAAGCUCCUGUCCAGAUUGUUCUACUGAACUGUGUUGUCAUCUUCGGUAAGGUAGGAAACUAUAUCCAGAGUCCUUCUGUUAGUGGUUCUGAGUUAAAGUUCUUGAGAAGAGGAAGAUGCAUGAGGUCUGGAAAGCAGAAGUGAGGAAGCCAUGAUUCCUUUUUUAAAUUUUAUUAUUGUGUUGGCCAAAAAGUUCAUUCAGUUUUAAGUAAAAAUAGAAAGUAUCACAUUUUUCAUUUUCACCAAGAAUUUUAUUGAACAAUGUAUUCACUAACUGAAUGAACUUUUUGGCCAAACCAAUAUCAUUAUUUUUUUGGCUGCAACACUUGGCAUGCAGGAUCUUAGUUCCCUGACCAGGGAUUGAACCCUUGUCCCCUUCAGUGGAAACAUGGAAUCUUAACCACUGGACCGCCAGGGAAGUCCUCAAGGAAACCAUGAUCCUCGGGUCUUCUGUACCAUCAGGAGACAGAGAUGCAUGGCAGCCUACUGGCCCUGAGUUCUAGCACAGUUUUCUGACUUCUGGCUCUGCCCAUACGGAAGAGCUCCAACUACACAUAUAUUUGAUGAGCAGUGUGAGUCCCCAUAAAGCCUUGCCUGAAUUUCUCGUCUGGCCUCGUUUCAAUUUCUAUUGAUUAGAGAGUCCAAGGACCCAGGUCAACCAUACUGGCAGAAAAACAGACACAUACAUAAAUGGAACAGAAUAGAGAGCUCAGAAAUAAAUACAAUGUAAGGUCAAUUAAUGUAGGAAAAAAGACGCAAGAAUAUACAAUGGGGAAAAGACAGCCUCUUCAAUAAAUAGUGUUGGGAAAACUGGCACCUACAUGUGAGAGAAUCAAACUGGACUUUUUUCUCACGCCAUAUAUAUAUGUGUAUAUAUAUACACACACACAUAUACAUACAUACAUACACACACACAUAUAUAUGUAAAGACUUUGUACAACUAAAUAUGAACAAAAAAACCACUUAAAAAAUGUGCACAAGACCUAAAUAGACAUUUUUCCAAAGAAGAUGUACAGAUGGCCAACAGACACAUGAAAAGCUGCUCAACAUCACUAAUCAGGGAGAUGCACAUCAUAACCACAGUGAGAUAACACCUGUCAAUGACACCUGUCAGAAUGGCUAUUAUUAAAAAGACCACCAAUAACAAGUGUUGUGAAGCAUUUGCAGAAAAGUGUAACCUAGUGCACUGUUGCUGGGAAUAUCAAUUGCUGCAGCCAUUAUGGAAAACAACAUGGAGUUUCUUAAAAUAAAAAUAGAACUACUGUACGAUCCAGCAAUCCCGCUUCUGGGUAUUUUUUGAAGAAAACAAAAACAGUAAUUCAAAAAUACUGGGCUUCCCUGGUGGUGCAGUGGUUGAGAAUCUGCCUGCCAAUGCAGGGGACACAGGUUCGAGCCCUGGUCUGGGAAGAUCCCAUAUGCUGCAGAGCAACUGGGCCCGUGAGCCACAAUUACUGAGCCUGCGCAUCUGGAGCCUGUGCUCCGCAACAAGAGAGGCCACGAUAGUGAGAGGCCCGCAUACCGCGAUGAAGAGUGGCCCCCGCUUGCCACAACUAGAGAAAGCCCUCGCACAGAAACGAAGACCCAGCACAGCCAUAAAAAACAAAACAAAACAAAACAUAUGCACCCCUAUGUUCAUUGCAGCAUUAUUUACAAUGGCCAAGGUACAGAGGCAACCUCAAUGUCUCUCAACAGAAGCGUGGAUAAAGAAGACGGUGCAUGUAUGUACAAUGGAAUAGUACUCAGCCAUAGAAAAGAAUGAAAUUUUAGCAUUUGGGACAACAUAUAUGGCACUAGAGGGUAUUCUAAGUGAAAUAGGCAGAGAAAGGCAAAUGCUGUGUGGUUUCACUCAUGUGGAAUGAAGAAAACAAAAAUGGAGAGUCAUAACAAAACAGAAAUAGACUCACAGAUACAGAGAAACAAGUGGUCAUCAGAAUGGAGGGUAGUAAGGAAAAUGAGUGAAAUAGGUGAGGGAGAUGGAACAAACUUCCAGUCCUUUUAAAGUCAGUCAGUCACAGGGAUGUAAUAUACAGCAUUUAUAGAGUCAGUCAUAUUGUAUGGUGGGAAUUCCCUGGCAGUCCAGUGGUCAGGACUCCGCACUUUCACUGCUGAGGGCCUGGGUUCUACCUCUAGUUGGGGAACUAAGAUCCUGCAAGCUAUGUGGUGUGGGUCACGGAAAAAAAAAAAAAGUGAAGAUUUCUUCCCUGAACUAAUUAAUGCAAUUUUUAAAAAAAGUGUGAUAUUGGUGGCUGUGAGCAGGGUGGGGCUUCUGACAGGGCACCAACCCAAGUGGGAUGUCACAUGUACAUUGUCUGGUUUGUGAUGUCAUGGAUGCUUAUAUCAUAAUAUUUCUGUCAAAUGUAUACUUUUUGCAUUUUUCUUCAUGUGUGUUUUAGUAAAAUACUAUGAUGUCAAUUAAUAUAACUCACCACAGUAGCACCAUAACCCAUAUAAAAAAAACACUAUCUCAAGUUUUCUCAAUAGAUGUGGAAAAACAUUUUAUACUAGUCAGCAUUUAUGAAUGACUAAUUUCUUAAUAAUUUAUGAUGAAGGCAAGUUGUAAUUACAAGGGAAUAGUCUUAGUUCAGGCAUACAAAAAUGGGGUCAGGCAGCCAUCGAGGAUCUGGUCUUGGACAGGUCCCUCCUCCACUGUUAACUUGAACUUUCUUUGAACAUGACGAGACCCAAGAACACGACCAGUUUUAUUCAGAACACAAUCCACCAAUGUGAGACCUUAUGUUCUCAAGGUCCCCCUUUGGAACUAUGUAACAAUUUCAGACCCCAACACAUCCUUGCUUAACAAGCACCCUUCUUGCCGGAUCUAAUUAUAAUUUUUGACAACUAAGUGUGGCCUUGCAGUUUUGCCUUUAUAAGCUUCCUCCAUUUUGUAGUCAGGCAAAAUCCAAUUAAAGUACUUCUUUUUUUAAAAAAUAUUUAUUUAUUUAUUUGGGUGUGCUGGGUCUUAGUUGCGGCUAACUGGGUCCUUAGUUGUGGCAUGCAUGUGGCAUCUAGUUCCCUGACCAGGGAUCAAAUCCAAGCCCCCAUCAUUGGGAGU
Molecule: long non-coding RNA, 5848 nt
Organism: Physeter macrocephalus (sperm whale)
Lineage: Eukaryota; Metazoa; Chordata; Mammalia; Artiodactyla; Physeteridae
Exons: 3
Source: RefSeq, a predicted model, not a curated record